Molecule: long non-coding RNA, 4710 nt
Organism: Labrus mixtus (cuckoo wrasse)
Lineage: Eukaryota; Metazoa; Chordata; Actinopteri; Labriformes; Labridae
Exons: 6
Source: RefSeq, a predicted model, not a curated record
CCACUGAACACAGACUCUGAACCCUUUCUCCUCCAGUGGUCUAGUUUAGUUUUCUCCACUGAACACAGACUCUGAACCCUUUCUCAUCAUGGUGCUUUGGUUUAUUCCCAGAAAUGUGUGAUCACUGUUGUUAGAACUUUGAAGUGUUUGAAACGUAUUUGCUGACUCUGCAGGCUCUCUUCUGAUUGGUCCUUUAAAAACUCAUUAAAGUGUGCUGGAUGGAGGAGAAGCAUUUUUCUCUGCUUCCACUGAGAGGGAGUGGUGCACCGCUCACAACAACAAACGCUGUCCUUUAAUUCACAUGCACGCGUGUGUGCACGUUACAUGACAGCGUGCACAAAUGCGCACGCGCCUCCCGCCUCCUCCUCCUUCUGUAUUUCCGUAGUCCUGCAGAGUUUGGCGCGUGCAGAGCAGAAGGAGUUUACCCACAGAGGAGAGAGGAGCGCGCGCUGAUCACAGAGAACUCAAACAGGUAAACAGGUGGGCUCGUGCCAAACGCCUCUACACCUGGACUCCAGCUCUCCUGGGAUUUGGGCUCCUCUUUUAGGUCCUCAUGAUGAUGAGCCGCCCCGCUCUCUAACAGAGGGAGAUGAUGAUGAUGAAGAUGAUGAUGAAGGUUCUCAGUCUCUGACCAGAACCGGUCUAAGAUGCCACCGGGCCCCGGAGCUCGGCACGCGGCUUGGAUCGUGAAAAACCCGGGAUAACUAAACACAGACAAACACACGCAGGAAGCCAGCACUGAACCCGAACCGGGUCGAGCUGAUCCGGGACAGAGAGCGGAGCGCCAGGGAGCAGAGAGAGGACAGUUUUAUUUCUGAAAUCAUCCUAACUCUCCUCCUUCAGGUUGGCAGGAUGCAGCUCCCGACCCUCCCCGUCCUGUCUGCACUCCUGGUGCUGCUGUUGGCGGCAGGUCGCUGCACGGCGGCGGCGGCCCUGCUCAGGGGGAACGGACGCACCAUGAUGGACAUGGUCGGCCGGUACCCGAGGACGAGGCCGGUGGCGGGAUUCUCUGGACACGGAGUUAAAACAGGAGAGAGAGAGAGCAGGUCACACAGCAGAGCAGACGGUCACCACAGAGAUCCUCAACACAAGGACAACUUCAUCACACACCUGACAGGUCCUCUUUACAUCAACCCAAAGUGCAGAAAACAUUUCCACAGACUGUACUACAACACCAGAGACUGCACAGUACCUACCUAUUAUAAAAGAUGUGCUCGUCUGCUGACUCGGUUGGCCAACAGCCCUCGCUGCUCGGAGAGAUAAACACUCUGCAGCCUCUGAUGACACAACAGAAGAAGAAGAAGAAGAAGUCCUCCAGCCAAUAGAAAGUCCUCUGAUUCUGUACCAGACUUCUGGAGCUGCUCAGCGUUACAUCACACUCUGCACAUGCUCAGUCAGUCAUUCACUGAAGUUAAACAUUUUGAAGCUCAGAUUUGGGAAUUCAUCAUCUUUGAGCUUCUGCUGAAGUUUUGUCAGAAAUGUCCAACGCAAACUCUGUUAGCUUUAAGCUAACUCCACGUCUCGGACACGGAUCAGGACUCUAGACAAAUCCUCAUCCUGAUGUAGUUAGUUCAGUAUCUUACGGCGUGUUCUCAUUAACAAGGUCCUCAGACUGAGACCUGGUCCUGAUCCUAGCUAACAGGUCAUCAGACUGAGACCUGGUCCUGAUCCUAGCUAACAGGUCCUCAGACCUGGACCUGGUACUGAUCCUAGCUAACAGGUCUUCAGACUGAGACCUGGUACUGAUCCUAGCUAACAGGUCCUCAGACUGAGACCUGGUUCUGGUCCUAGCUAACAGGUUUCAGACUGGAAGUAGGAGGACGGUUGAUGGAGGACGGAGAUUAAGUAUUCUGGUGGUCUUGUUUUGAAGCAGCUGAUCCUUCUGGACUCAUCUCAGCUGUUUCUCUGUAUCGGACUCUACUCUCAAAAAUCAUCUUCAGUUUGUGGUGACUGGACAGAAGAUGGAUUUCUAUCUUUUUUAGGCUUCUUUGGUUUCUGAAGGAUCUGGAGACUCAGCAGAAAGUCUCCUGGAGGACCGGACAUGUUUAUCUGUUCUGGGGUUACUUUGGACCGCUGAACGGCUCCACAUGUUCCUGUCGGACAUAUCUGCUGAUUGGACAACGGCUGAAGAUCGGGAUUUAUUCUCCUGAGAUGCUAAAUGUGUUUAAUCGUACAUAAUGCUUCAUAAUCAUAUAACAUAUUUAUAAUGUUCAAGUUGAAGCCUCGUGUGCAAUAUGUACAUACUGAGAGGAAUAAAGACUCAUGUUUCAUAUGUUUUAAACUCAAGUUUAGAGUCUUUAUGUUGCUGUCUCUCCAGUUAGACUUUCUAUCAUACUGCUAAAAUAUAAACAGGGAAGUCUUCUGUUCUUUUUGUUCUAUAUUGGUUCUUUAUGGAAUGACGAGCUAGCACACACUUCAUGUCACCUCUUUGUUCCUGUAAGUCGGUUAAACCUGUCUCUUAUUAAUGUCCAGCAAGGGGCGACUCCACAGGUUACUAAACCAAGCAUCUGUCUUUAGGUCUAAGGAAGUGACCAUAUUUGGACAAGUGGGAGGAGCUGGACAGGAGCUAGGGAAACUCCUUCCACUUUUCCAAAUAUGGUCACUCCUUCUGAAAGGUAGUGAAAGAGGGGGCGGGACUACCUAUGAUUGACUACUAAAGCAAUCAGUCAAGCAGGCGUAGAAAUGCUAAUGACAAGGAGGAGAUAAGAGAAUCCUAGUUUUUAAGCUCGUUUUAUCAGCGACGGCUGCAGUGUGCGCGACCAUGUUCCGUCACAUACGUCCUGCACGUUUAACCAGCAAACAGACAGAAAUAUGAACUUUUAUUCUUUUUCUGUGUGCAUGUAAAACUCCUCUUUUGUUAUCAUGAUUCCUGUCAAACUUUUUUUUCCCGUCCCGUCUCAACAAUCCCGUGACAAGUAGUAAAAUACCUUGCCGUCUCGGAGGAAUCCCUACGAGGAUCGCGUGACCUGCGGGACUCCCUCUACCGGGAAGCGUCACUAACCGGAUGCUGUGUACUUCUGCAACUCACAAACAUGGCAGCGAACACAACACAACCAACCGUCAACAACACGAGCGUCUUUAAAGACAAACCACAAUCAGUUUGUGAUCAGUUUCUGUGAGAUCCGUGGUCGCCUGGUCGACCUCAAUCGUCUCGUGUGUGACAUGAUUCUUUCAAACGUGAAAAGAUGUUGAAGCCCCGCUUGAAUUCACCGUAAACCUGCAGAGAGUUAGUGAAGUAGGAGCCUGCUGCUGGUGAACACGUUGGCUUUACAAGUGUUUGAAGUCAAGUUUCCAUUUGAUUUAGUUUGGUAACGAUUAGAGAAGAUAAGAGUGACGUGAUUCUUUCUGUGAGACGCAGUAAUUAUAGUCUCUGCAUCAUUACAGAGAGUCCUUUAACCGGAUAAUGAUCCGUCUGUCUGUCUGUCUGCAUUCAGCUCAACGUGCCUCACAUAUCGCUUACAGCCGUUUGAUAGUAAUUAGGUAAACUGUCAAAGGUGUGUGUGUUAACAGACAAGCCGAAGUCUGUGCCAGAACUGCUGCAGAUCUGGUCUGACUGGCAAACACACACACACACACCUGUACCUUUAACUGUCCCCAUACGGGGUCGCAUGGAAUUCAAACGGGGUUCUCUGAAAUGUCUAAUUAUUGAUCAACAAAACAUAUAUCAUAGCGUUCUUCCUGAAUGUAGCUACAAGACGUUAUCCAGUUUAGCUACAUGCUAAAAGCUAACAGCCGUGCAGAAUCACCACAGACGAAGCCUGAGUGUCAUCCCCCGUCUGUUCCUGCAGGGGGCGCUGGAGUCCCAUCGAUGGCAGUCUCCAUGCUGGAAAUGCUGUCUCAGUCUAACUUUCAGUCAACCUAACGACAGGCUGAGAGCUGGAGCUGAGGCGGGUUUUAAACCUCCUGACAAACCGUUACACCGCGCCCACCUGUCAAUCAGGUCAGCUACACGCCUUAUUGUGAAUAACUCUUAUCCUUCAUCAAAUCAAAACUGAUGAGUCAUCAAAACAUUCACCCCCCGUACAGUGUGUGUCCAUCGAGACAUGAGCUAAUCACACCUAUUUGGUUUUUUGAACCAGGCUGUAAACAUGUUAAUCUCUGCUGUAAAAACAGGCUUUUUAGAAUGGGUGUGUAUGUGACUUCCUGUGCUUCUGCAGCCAGCCUCUAGUGGACACUCCAGGAACUGCAGGAUGUUACACUUCAGCAUUGUCUUCUUUUUUCAACAUAGGCGGUUGCUGCUUGCUCAUCGAGCGUCCAGCAUUCACUUCCAGCCUCGUUAAUGCACCUCACACGCUCACCUGUCACAUGAUUGAAAUAAUAAUAAUUUGAGCAAUAAGCUGUUUGUUUGUGUGUUUUGGAUGUCGCGGGUCCUCAGAGUGUCACGAGCCAAUAAAGGUGGAGAACCUCUGAUUUAACGAGUUAACGUCUGUCAUGUAAUCAGUUGGAUAUUGAAUCUUUGUCAUGACUGUAUGAAUCCUGCAUGCUGUAAAUACUGUUUAAACAUAUCGACACUGAACAUUCUAAGUCAUUUACUACAUUAAAUAUUUAUCUCUUUGCACUAUUGUUUACAUCUGUAUAUAAACAUUGUCUGGUUUCAUUUGAAUGCAUAUAAUUCUAUAUUUUUCUUAUUUGUACAUUCUGAUCCUAACAGUCUGUUUCUAUAUUUAUACUCAAACUGUAAAACACAGAGACAUUAAAACUGUUGUCGUA